CAGCCGCCGCGGGAAAACGAAGGGGGCUAGCGUUGCUCGGAAUGACUGGGCGUAAAGGGCGCGUAGGCGGCGAUCAAAGUCAGGCGUGAAAUUCCUGGGCUCAACCUGGGGGCUGCGUUUGAUACUUGGUUGCUAGAGUGAGGAAGAGGGUCGUGGAAUUCCCAGUGUAGAGGUGAAAUUCGUAGAUAUUGGGAAGAACACCGGUGGCGAAGGCGGCGACCUGGUCCUUGACUGACGCUGAGGCGCGAAAGCGUGGGGAGCAAACAGGAUUAGAUACCCCCGUAGUCCCUGUCUCUUAUAC
This 301-nucleotide ribosomal RNA is filed under the name uncultured bacterium. Its description in RNAcentral is "partial 16S ribosomal RNA". It matches the Rfam family "Bacterial small subunit ribosomal RNA", at positions 509 to 807 of the family's 1533-position model. The record is from RNAcentral.